AGCGGCGGACGGGUGAGUAACGCGUGGGCAACCUGCCUCACACAGGGGGAUAACAGUUAGAAAUGACUGCUAAUACCGCAUAAGACCACGAAACCGCAUGGUUUUGAGGUAAAAACUCCGGUGGUGUGAGAUGGGCCCGCGUCUGAUUAGGUAGUUGGUGCGGUAACGGCGCACCAAGCCGACGAUCAGUAGCCGACCUGAGAGGGUGACCGGCCACAUUGGGACUGAGACACGGCCCAAACUCCUACGGGAGGCAGCAUG
RNAcentral lists this ribosomal RNA (261 nucleotides) under uncultured bacterium. Its description in RNAcentral is "partial 16S ribosomal RNA". It matches the Rfam family "Bacterial small subunit ribosomal RNA", at positions 94 to 353 of the family's 1533-position model. The record is from RNAcentral.